AAUAACAUAUUCUCCAGGGAUAAAUGUCAUCCCAAUGGCUGAUAGAAAUUUACAAGGCAAUGUACAUACAUCAAUCAACAAUAGCAUGCAUUCUCCAAACUAAAUUCCGAAUACAGAUAUGGAAAAUUUUAGCAGCACUUGUUGGGCACAUGGAUAAACGUUCUUCUUGAAGGAUUACCCUUGAGUUGCACCAUCUUAUGCAAUUCAAAGGAUUUCUUUGCUAGUCAAACAAGAAAGCAUAAUACUUCAAGGAAUUUCGCUCUCCUCCUCAUAUAUCCAAGCAUAAAGAAGGAUAAGACAACAAGAAGAGUCUUACUACACAUUAAUAAAUAAGAGCAGGCAUUUUUCAUGAAAUUCAGAAUGUUUCACUUAUAAUUAUAUCCAUAAGAGCAAUUACGCAGACAUGAUUACUAAAGAACAGCAUGCAUAAAUGAUUUCGAAAACCA
RNAcentral lists this unclassified non-coding RNA (446 nucleotides) under Hevea brasiliensis (rubber tree). Lineage: Eukaryota; Viridiplantae; Streptophyta; Magnoliopsida; Malpighiales; Euphorbiaceae. The record is from RNAcentral.